AGUCUAGUUUCAAGGAUCUCUAGUUUUCUUGUCUUUUGGCAAUAGCCAUUCCAGUUUCUCUUUCAAUAUAUAUCCUUGUUUAUUUAUAUUUUGUUACCUUUCUUUGAGUGAAGGCUCACUUGUCUAAAUUUUUUUUUCAUCGAGUUUUUGUCGUUGACAAUAAAUCCUAAACAAAUCUUAAAUCUUAAAUUAUAUUCUAAAUCAAAUCCUAAUCUUAAAUCAAAUUCUAAAUCAAAUCCUAGACAAACUCUAAAUCCUAAAUCAAAUCCUAGACAAAUCCUAAAUCCUAAAUCAAACCUUAAAUAAAUUUUAAAUCUUAAAUCAAACCUUAAAUAAAUCCUAAAUCCUAAAAUAAUUCCUAAAUCAAAUCCUAAUCCUAAACUAAAUCCUAGUCAAAUCUUUAAUCCUAAAUCAAAUCUUA
RNAcentral lists this long non-coding RNA (421 nucleotides) under Physcomitrium patens. RNAcentral describes it as "long non-coding RNA (PPAT_LNC012315)". Lineage: Eukaryota; Viridiplantae; Streptophyta; Bryopsida; Funariales; Funariaceae. The record is from RNAcentral.